UCGCCUCUUGCAACAAUUAAGUAUAGAGGUCCGCCUGCCCAGUGACUAGUUCAACGGCCGCGGUAUCAUGACCGUGCAAAGGUAGCGUAAUCACUUGUCUUUUAAAUAAAGACCCGUAUGAAAGGCAAAACGAAAGUUCAACUGUCUCUUUAAUCCAAUCAAUGAAAUUUAUCUUUUCGUGCAGAGGCGGAGAUAAAUAUAUAAGACGAGAAGACCCUAUGGAGCUUUAAACACACUAUUAACUACUACAGUAAUUUCAACCAACAGGCAAAAAAUCAUAAACCACAUAGCCAUAAUAUAAGUUUUGGGUUGGGGCGACCACGGAGCAAAAAAAAUCCUCCGAGAUAAACAAUUUAGAAUAACACUUCGAAAAUUAAAACAUUUAUUAUAAAUGAUCCACUAAGUGACCAACGAACCAAGUUACCCUAGGGAUAACAGCGCAAUCCUUUCUAAGAGUCCAUAUCGACGAAUGGGUUUACGACCUCGAUGUUGGAUCAGGACACCCAAAUGGUGCAGCCGCUGUAAAGGUUCGUUUGUUCAACGAUUAAAGUCCUAC
This 556-nucleotide ribosomal RNA is filed under the name Tylototriton wenxianensis (Wenxian knobby newt). RNAcentral describes it as "partial 16S ribosomal RNA". It matches the Rfam family "Bacterial large subunit ribosomal RNA", at positions 1816 to 2599 of the family's 2925-position model. Lineage: Eukaryota; Metazoa; Chordata; Amphibia; Caudata; Salamandridae. The record is from RNAcentral.